CCUACGGGUGGCAGCAGUGGGGAAUAUUGGGCAAUGGGCGCAAGCCUGACCCAGCAACGUCGCGUGAAGGAAGAAGGCUCUCGGGUUGUAAACUUCUUUUGUCAGGGAAGAGUAGAAGACGAUACCUGACGAAUAAGCCACGGCUAACUACGUGCCAGCAGCCGCGGUAAUACGGAGGUGGCAAGCGUUGUCCGGAUUUACUGGGUGUAAAGGGCGUGUAGCCGGGUUGACAAGUCAGAUGUGAAAUCCUGCGGCUUAACCGCAGAACUGCAUUUGAAACUGUUGAUCUUGAGUACUGGAGAGGUAGAUGGAAUUCGUAGUGUAGCGGUGAAAUGCGUAGAUAUUAGGAGGAACUCCAGUGGCGAAGGCGGUCUGCUGGACAGCAACUGACGGUGAGGCGCGAAAGCGUGGGGAGCAAACAGGAUUAGAUACCCUUGUAGUC
RNAcentral lists this ribosomal RNA (442 nucleotides) under uncultured bacterium. RNAcentral describes it as "partial 16S ribosomal RNA". It matches the Rfam family "Bacterial small subunit ribosomal RNA", at positions 338 to 795 of the family's 1533-position model. The record is from RNAcentral.